AUAAUUAACUUGCGCAAUAGUUAUGUUAUGAACUGGUCAGGAUCGGAAGAUAGCAGCCAAGAUAGCCUCUAAUUAUGUGCGCUUUUUUUAUGAGGUGU
This 98-nucleotide signal recognition particle RNA is filed under the name Bacilli bacterium. Its description in RNAcentral is "signal recognition particle sRNA small type". The stretch from base 6 to 91 matches the Rfam family "Bacterial small signal recognition particle RNA". Rfam says of the family: The signal recognition particle (SRP) is a universally conserved ribonucleoprotein involved in the co-translational targeting of proteins to membranes. Lineage: Bacteria; Bacillati; Bacillota; Bacilli. The record is from RNAcentral.